This 406-nucleotide ribosomal RNA is filed under the name uncultured bacterium. RNAcentral's name for it is "partial 16S ribosomal RNA". It matches the Rfam family "Bacterial small subunit ribosomal RNA", at positions 30 to 526 of the family's 1533-position model. The record is from RNAcentral.
AUUGAACGCUGGCGGCAGGCCUAACACAUGCAAGUCGAACGAGAGGCGGACGGGUGAGUACUGUCUGGGCACCUGCCUGAUGGAGGGGGAUAACUACUGGAAACGGUAGCUAAUACCGCAUACCAUCAGAUGUGCCCAGAUGGGAUGUGCUAGUUGGUGGGGUAACGGCUCACCAAGGCGAGGAUCCGUAGCUGGUCUGAGAGGAUGACCAGCCACACUGGGACUGAGACACGGUCCAGACUCCUACGGGAGGCAGCAGUGGGGAAUCUUGCACAAUGGGCGCAAGCCUGAUGCAGCCAUGCCGCGUGUGUGAUGAAGGCCUUCGGGUUGUAAAGUACUUUCAGCGGGGAGGCGGUACCAGCAGAAGAAGCACCGGCUAACUCCGUGCCAGCAGCCGCGGUAAUAC